RNAcentral lists this ribosomal RNA (460 nucleotides) under uncultured bacterium. Its description in RNAcentral is "partial 16S ribosomal RNA". It matches the Rfam family "Bacterial small subunit ribosomal RNA", at positions 338 to 795 of the family's 1533-position model. The record is from RNAcentral.
CCUACGGGAGGCAGCAGUGAGGAAUAUUGGUCAAUGGACGCAAGUCUGAACCAGCCAAGCCGCGUGCAGGAAGACGGCUCUAUGAGUUGUAAACUGCUUUUGUACGAGGGUAAACGCAGAUACGCGUAUCUGUCUGAAAGUAUCGUACGAAUAAGGAUCGGCUAACUCCGUGCCAGCAGCCGCGGUAAUACGGAGGAUUCAAGCGUUAUCCGGAUUUAUUGGGUUUAAAGGGUGCGUAGGCGGUCGGAUAAGUUAGAGGUGAAAUCCCGAGGCUCAACUUCGGAAUUGCCUCUGAUACUGUUCUGCUAGAGUGUAGUUGCGGUAUGCGGAAUGUGUGGUGUAGCGGUGAAAUGCUUAGAGAUCACGCAGAACACCGAUUGCGAAGGCAGCUUACCAGGCUACUUCUGACGUUGAGGCACGAAAGCGUGGGGAGCGAACAGGAUUAGAUACCCGAGUAGUC